RNAcentral lists this unclassified non-coding RNA (206 nucleotides) under Hevea brasiliensis (rubber tree). The record is from RNAcentral. Lineage: Eukaryota; Viridiplantae; Streptophyta; Magnoliopsida; Malpighiales; Euphorbiaceae.
UACAAAAGCCAGGUCUAAAAAUAGCUCUAUCGAUACAACUCGAGGGGCCGAAAAAUCUGUAUCCAUACCACCUAAAACGAACAAAGGAUCACAAUAUUGGCCUCCAAGACAAUGUACAUUUCCGGGCUCUAAGCAAUGGGUAUAGUUUUCUUGGUUAAUCAAUGCAGCUUCAGCUCCUUUGCUAUGUACUUAAAAUUUGAAAUGAA